This 71-nucleotide transfer RNA is filed under the name Olivibacter sp. SDN3. It matches the Rfam family "tRNA". From Rfam's summary of the family: Transfer RNA (tRNA) molecules are approximately 80 nucleotides in length. Lineage: Bacteria; Pseudomonadati; Bacteroidota; Sphingobacteriia; Sphingobacteriales; Sphingobacteriaceae. The record is from Rfam by way of RNAcentral.
UGUCGCGUGACUGAGAGGUUAGGUGGAGGUCUGCAAAACCUUUUAUGGUAGUUCGAAUCUACCCGCGGCGU